GCUAGUGUGGCUUAGUGGUUUAAGUGUUGGACUACAACUCUGGAGAUCAGGGUUCAAUUCCCUUCUUGAACA
Molecule: non-coding RNA, 72 nt
Organism: Phrynosoma platyrhinos (Desert horned lizard)
Lineage: Eukaryota; Metazoa; Chordata; Lepidosauria; Squamata; Phrynosomatidae
Source: the annotation of a GenBank genome assembly